Molecule: transfer RNA, 69 nt
Filed under: Ovis aries (sheep)
Lineage: Eukaryota; Metazoa; Chordata; Mammalia; Artiodactyla; Bovidae
Rfam family: tRNA
About the family: Transfer RNA (tRNA) molecules are approximately 80 nucleotides in length. Their secondary structure includes four short double-helical elements and three loops (D, anti-codon, and T loops).
Source: Rfam by way of RNAcentral
UCUUAAGCUCAGUUGGUAAAGAAUCUGUCUGUAAUGCAGGAGACCCAGGUUCAAUUCCUGGGUCAAGAA